Ictidomys tridecemlineatus (thirteen-lined ground squirrel) is the source of this 395-nucleotide non-coding RNA. The record is from RefSeq and is a predicted model, not a curated record. Lineage: Eukaryota; Metazoa; Chordata; Mammalia; Rodentia; Sciuridae.
GAGGCAGGGCUGAGGUGACCGCAAUCUGAACUUCCUUCCAAAGCCUGACCACCUUCUCUCCUCUGGAUGCCCCUCCUCUCUGGUGAUGGUGAAGGACAGGUGUUGAAAGUCAGACUAAACAAGAUUUGAACAGCAGCUCUGCUCACCACGACGUGACCACGACAAAAGAGAACAAGAAACUUGAGCCAUCACAGUACAUCAAAGGCAUCUUCCAAUAUAUUCCCCAAGUCAACAUCCAGAAAACCUGCCUUAUCCUCUGUAGAGACCAUCACCAAGCCAGAGCAGAGCCAAAGAACACCUUCUUUUUUCUCCCUUCCAAGGACAACUCAGAGGCCAUCCAUCAGUGCUCACAUUUCUGCAGUCAUCCUUCCCUCAAAUAAAACUUUAAAAUGCAA